AGCUCGGUAGUUUAGUUGGCAAAGCACUCGUCUAACUUACAAGAGACGUUGGUUCAAAUCCCACCUGAACAA
Molecule: non-coding RNA, 72 nt
Organism: Aedes aegypti (yellow fever mosquito)
Lineage: Eukaryota; Metazoa; Arthropoda; Insecta; Diptera; Culicidae
Source: Rfam